CACGUAGGGUGCGAGCGUUGUCCGGAAUUAUUGGGCGUAAAGAGCUCGUAGGCGGUCUGUCGCGUCGAUCGUGAAAACUUGGGGCUUAACCCUGAGCUUGCGGUCGAUACGGGCAUGACUGGAGUUCGGCAGGGGAGACUGGAAUUCCUGGUGUAGCGGUGAAAUGCGCAGAUAUCAGGAGGAACACCGGUGGCGAAGGCGGGUCUCUGGGCCGACACUGACGCUGAGGCGCGAAAGCCAGGGGAGCGAACGGG
This 254-nucleotide ribosomal RNA is filed under the name uncultured bacterium. RNAcentral describes it as "partial 16S ribosomal RNA". It matches the Rfam family "Bacterial small subunit ribosomal RNA", at positions 524 to 776 of the family's 1533-position model. The record is from RNAcentral.